CACUCUAGAGAGACUGCCAGGUAUAAUCUGGAGGAAGGUGGGGAUGACGUCAAAUCAUCAUGCCCCUUAUGCUUAGGGCUACACACGUGCUACAAUGGGUAGUACAGAGGGUUGCCAAGCCGUAAGGUGGAGCUAAUCCCUUAAAGCUACUCUCAGUUCGGAUUGUAGGCUGAAACUCGCCUACAUGAAGCUGGAGUUACUAGUAAUCGCAGACCAGAAUGCGGCGGUGAAUGCGUUCCCGGGUCUUUUACACACCGCCCGUCACACCACGGGAGUUGGAGACGCCCGAAGCCGAUUAUCUAACCUUUUGGAAGAAGUCGUCG
This 323-nucleotide ribosomal RNA is filed under the name Clostridioides difficile. RNAcentral's name for it is "bacterial SSU rRNA". It matches the Rfam family "Bacterial small subunit ribosomal RNA", at positions 1136 to 1458 of the family's 1533-position model. Lineage: Bacteria; Bacillati; Bacillota; Clostridia; Peptostreptococcales; Peptostreptococcaceae. The record is from RNAcentral.